UACGUAUGGUGCAAGCGUUAUCCGGAUUUACUGGGCGUAAAGGGAGCGCAGGCGGUGCGCCAAGUCUGAUGUGAAACCCCGGGGCUCAACCCCGGGCAUGCAUUGGAAACUGGCGGGCUGGAGUGCCGGAGAGGUAAGCGGAAUUCCUAGUGUAGCGGUGAAAUGCGUAGAUAUUAGGAGGAACGCCAGUGGCGAAGGCGGCUUACUGGACGGCAACUGACGCUGAGGCUCGAAAGCGUGGGGAGCAAACAGG
RNAcentral lists this ribosomal RNA (253 nucleotides) under uncultured bacterium. RNAcentral describes it as "partial 16S ribosomal RNA". It matches the Rfam family "Bacterial small subunit ribosomal RNA", at positions 524 to 776 of the family's 1533-position model. The record is from RNAcentral.